UUUGUGAUAGUAUUCAAUUAAGUUUAAGUUUAAUACACUCAUAAAAUGUUUCUUCAUGGCAGCCUUACGUUGACUUGGCGAAUAGCUAUGGCACUGGGAAAAUGUCAGAAUUAAAGAGUUGUCUUGAGACAAACAUGGAGAAGUUCAAAACUGUUUUGGAUGCUUCUUGUACAUGCCUGACUAGCAACGAAAUCCACUUCAAGAAUAUCAGCCCAUUGCAGGGAAACUUCUCAGGGAGGAAUUUAGGCUCAUUGCAAGAAAAGGGCCUACAUCACACAUAGUGGACACGUGAUCAUGGCCAGUUAGGUUGGUGUUGUAGACAUUUGCCAGAAGACGUGGCUAGGAAAGGAAGACAUAUGAUCGGUCUAGAAGGGGACCGUACUGAAACAGUUCAUGUGAAACGCUAGGAAAGGAAGACAUUUACAGUUUGUUUUGAAAACUUUAAAUAGACCAUUAAUUGUAUAAUUGUUGUCUUGAUGAAUGUUAGAU
Magnolia sinica is the source of this 489-nucleotide long non-coding RNA. RefSeq lists it as uncharacterized. The record is from RefSeq and is a predicted model, not a curated record. The transcript is spliced from 3 exons. NCBI's taxonomy places the organism in Eukaryota, Viridiplantae, Streptophyta, Magnoliopsida, Magnoliales, Magnoliaceae.